UUUGAAUCUCUUGCCGAUUAAACAACAGGAGCAGCACGUAAAGCGAAACCACGUACGCCAAAUCAUCGGGGGAUAAAAUAAACAUUCAGAGCAGAAGUAAGCAGAUUAACUAAUCCUGCCACUGCGCCCACCACCGGCCAAUUACGUUAUGGGGGGCUAAGCACAAGCACGACGCGACGGGGGGCGGGCUGCUGCUAUCUGAAGAAAUCAAAUCCUACCGCUGAAAAGGGAUCGGUCGCCAAACACCAAUCGAACAUCGCAUGCAUGCGUUGCACAAGAUUGGUGUUUGCUGCGCGCAUGUGGAAGGUUUUUUU
Molecule: long non-coding RNA, 314 nt
Filed under: Brachypodium distachyon (stiff brome)
Lineage: Eukaryota; Viridiplantae; Streptophyta; Magnoliopsida; Poales; Poaceae
Description: long non-coding RNA (BDIS_LNC001452)
Source: RNAcentral